UAGAGUUUGGAUCCUGGCUCAGAUUGAACGCUGGCGGCAGGCCUAACACAUGCAAGUCGAGCGGCAGCGACAUCAACAAUCCUUCGGGUGCGUUGAUGGGCGGCGAGCGGCGGACGGGUGAGUAAUGCCUGGGAAUAUGCCCUGAUGUGGGGGAUAACCAUUGGAAACGAUGGCUAAUACCGCAUAAUCUCUUCGGAGCAAAGAGGGGGACCUUCGGGCCUCUCGCGUCAGGAUUAGCCCAGGUGAGAUUAGCUAGUUGGUGAGGUAAGAGCUCACCAAGGCGACGAUCUCUAGCUGGUCUGAGAGGAUGAUCAGCCACACUGGAACUGAGACACGGUCCAGACUCCUACGGGAGGCAGCAGUGGGGAAUAUUGCACAAUGGGGGAAACCCUGAUGCAGCCAUGCCGCGUGUGUGAAGAAGGCCUUCGGGUUGUAAAGCACUUUCAGUCGUGAGGAAGGCGUUAUCGUUAAUAGCGG
Molecule: ribosomal RNA, 477 nt
Filed under: Photobacterium sp. PS4B-B377
Lineage: Bacteria; Pseudomonadati; Pseudomonadota; Gammaproteobacteria; Vibrionales; Vibrionaceae
Description: bacterial SSU rRNA
Rfam family: Bacterial small subunit ribosomal RNA
Source: RNAcentral